Molecule: long non-coding RNA, 1208 nt
Filed under: Homo sapiens (human)
Lineage: Eukaryota; Metazoa; Chordata; Mammalia; Primates; Hominidae
Description: long intergenic non-protein coding RNA 343
Source: RNAcentral
GGCAGUUAGGCUGCAGUGAAUUCUACAAAGAGGCUAUGGGAAAGAAACCUGGAAAGUACCCUUGGCUGUGUACAUUUGAGUAAAGAGAGCACUAUAAAAUCAAAAACCAAUGAAAUGGUUUCCAGAACACAGAACUAUUAAGCUUAAGAAAAGGACAGAAGGAACUGAAGAGAGAGGAACUGUUUUGGAGCAUCACACUUCCACCUCAGAAGAAAUAAGGAAGGAAGGAGGAGGGUGUUCCCACGGCUCUUCAACCAGGCCGGCUCUUCAGCCUACAUCCCCAUCUCAUCAAGUAAAAGGGAUUUUUCAACUGGACCAACCAGAUGGUUUAACAGUGCACUCCCACACCAUUCAACUACGCAAGGGAGAUACACUUAACAUAUGCAGUCGUAUAACACCUACUAACAUUUUCAAACAUUAAACCUUUAAAAAAGAGUUCUAAAGAAAUAGAAGCUUGAAGUAUCAUCUCUCAAGUAUAUAGACACUACUUCAUGGUGUGGUAAUAUAUGCAUAUAGAAGCUAGUAAACACCUCCAGGAGAUGCAAAAGGAAUUAGAACUGCCACAAGGUGCAAGCAAAACCUUGAGAGUGAAUAUACCUUGGAAGACGUGUCCUGCCUUUAGUAGCGUCACAAUGGAUUACAUCCUCUAUAAAGCAGUCUGGGAUAUUCUGCCCAAUCAGAGGCUAACAUCUGCCACAAGACAAAUAUGGUGCCUGCCCCCAUGGAGCUCAUAUUCGAAUGGAGAAAAUGUCAACAAGUAUCCCACGGAGUGAACACUUCAAAAGGAGAAGCACAGGUGAGAAAAUCGAAUUUGGACACCGUUGAGGAGACUAUUGCAGUCAUCCAAGCUCAAGAUGGUGGAGCUUCAUCCUUGAGAAUAACCAAUGGGGAUAGAUUUAAGAGACACUUAGAGUCUGCAGCCAACAGGGCUGAAUGAGCAGAGAGUUAUGAUUCAGAAGAUCAUCUAAAAUUGAACAGCUGCCACUACUGGCAAUAAGUCUACUGCCAUUUGGUAGAUAACCUUCUUAUCACACAGAAAAAUAUCAGUACAGACAAAUAGACCGCAAAGAAAAUGAGACCAUCAGCAAAGAAGAUAAAGAAGUUUGUACAAAGCAACUUUUUAUAAAUGGAUGGCUGUCAGGCAAAAAUAAAUUUCCUGUGGACAAGACCAAGAGCAAGGCAAGAGGAAAAUAAACAUGUUUAAACUA